This 1046-nucleotide ribosomal RNA is filed under the name unidentified archaeon. Its description in RNAcentral is "bacterial SSU rRNA". It matches the Rfam family "Archaeal small subunit ribosomal RNA", at positions 1 to 1054 of the family's 1478-position model. The record is from RNAcentral.
UCCGGUUGAUCCUGCCAGAGGUUACUGCUAUCGAGGUUCGACUAAGCCAUGCGAGUCGAAUGUAGCAAUACAUGGCGUACUGCUCAGUAACACGUGGACAACCUGCCCUUAGGUCGGGUAUAAACCCGGGAAACUGGGUAUAAUCCCCGAUAGGUCUCGGCUGCUGGAAUGCAUCGAGAUUAAAAGCUCCGGCGCCUAAGGAUGGGUCUGCGGCCUAUCAGGUAGUAGUGGGUGUAGCGUACCUACUAGCCUACGACGGGUACGGGUUGUGAGAGCAAGAGCCCGGAGAUGGAUUCUGAGACACGAAUCCAGGCCCUACGGGGUGCAGCAGGCGCGAAAACUUUACAAUGCUGGCAACAGCGAUAAGGGAACCUCGAGUGCCAGGUUACAAAUCUGGCUGUCGAGAUGCCUAAAAAGCAUUUCAUAGCAAGGGCCGGGCAAGACCGGUGCCAGCCGCCGCGGUAACACCGGCGGCUCGAGUGGUAACCGUUAUUAUUGGGUCUAAAGGGUCUGUAGCCGGCCGGAUAAGUCUCUUGAGAAAUCUGGCAGCUUAACUGUCAGGCUUUCAGGAGAUACUGUCUGGCUCGAGGCCGGGAGAGGUGAGAGGUACUUCAGGGGUAGGGGUGAAAUCUUGUAAUCCUUGAAGGACCACCAGUGGCGAAGGCGUCUCACCAGAACGGACCUGACGGCAAGGGACGAAAGCUAGGGGCACGAACCGGAUUAGAUACCCGGGUAGUCCUAGCCGUAAACGAUACUCGCUAGGUGUCGGCCACGGUGCGACCGUUGUCGGUGCCGUAGGGAAGCCGUGAAGCGAGCCACCUGGGAAGUACGGCCGCAAGGCUGAAACUUAAAGGAAUUGGCGGGGGAGCACCACAACGGGUGGAGCUUGCGGUUUAAUUGGAUUCAACGCCGGAAAUCUUACCGGGACCGACAGCAAUAUGAAGGCCAGGCUGAAGACUUUGCCGGAUUAGCUGAGAGGUGGUGCAUGGCCGUCGUCAGUUCGUACUGUGAAGCAUCCUGUUAAGUCAGGUAACGAGCGAGACCCA